Molecule: ribosomal RNA, 492 nt
Filed under: uncultured bacterium
Lineage: Bacteria
Description: partial 16S ribosomal RNA
Rfam family: Bacterial small subunit ribosomal RNA
Source: RNAcentral
AGUGAACGCUGGCGGUAGGCCUAACACAUGCAAGUCGAACGGCAGCACAGUAAGAGCUUGCUCUUACGGGUGGCGAGUGGCGGACGGGUGAGGAAUACAUCGGAAUCUACUUUUUCGUGGGGGAUAACGUAGGGAAACUUACGCUAAUACCGCAUACGACCUACGGGUGAAAGCAGGGGAUCUUCGGACCUUGCGCGAUUGAAUGAGCCGAUGUCGGAUUAGCUAGUUGGCGGGGUAAAGGCCCACCAAGGCGACGAUCCGUAGCUGGUCUGAGAGGAUGAUCAGCCACACUGGAACUGAGACACGGUCCAGACUCCUACGGGAGGGAGCAGUGGGGAAUAUUGGACCAUGGGCGCAAGCCUGAUCCAGCCAUACCGCGUGGGUGAAGAAGGCCUUCGGGUUGUAAAGCCCUUUUGUUGGGAAAGAAAAGCAGCAGGGUAAUACCCCGCCGUUCUGACGGUACCCAAAGAAUAAGCAACGGCUAACUUCGUG